This is an RNA transcript of Pseudopipra pipra, 2085 nucleotides long. It is a transcript of the gene named SLX9 ribosome biogenesis factor, with no coding region annotated. NCBI's taxonomy places the organism in Eukaryota, Metazoa, Chordata, Aves, Passeriformes, Pipridae. The transcript is spliced from 7 exons. The record is from RefSeq and is a predicted model, not a curated record.
GGGCGGUGCAGCCGGAAGAUCCCGCCCCGGUGGGGGCGGCCCCGGGCGUGGCACAGGCCGCGCUGCCCCUCCGCGCUCCGCGCCGCCAUGGUGGGGAAGGCCAAGCGCCCGCGGCUGCACCGCGCCGCCCCCCGGGCCUGGCCCGCCCGGGACCCGCCGCCGCUCCCCGCGUCCGAGCCGGGCCCCGGCCCCGGGAAGGACUGGGACUUCUCAUCUUCUGAUGUCUUUUCUGGGCUGAAGAUUGACCCUGAUACCCUGGUCAAGAAGCUCGACUUGGACUCCAGAAGCAUCACUUCCUCCAGGACAGGUUUAGAAGAAAAAACAGUUCUUUCCAAAAAAGAAAAGAUGAAGCUGAGGAAAGAAAGAUGGCUGCAGAAAAUAGAAAGUGUGAAGAUAAUGAAGCAGAAGCAAAAAGCCGAAGCAAAGCGAAAAGCAACACCUGUGGUGGGAGACAUGCAGCCCUUGAUGGAAGCCCUACCUGAGCUCUCUGACCUGACCACAGGUGGCAGGGGCAGGAAGCCAGUCAAGAGCCAUAUAGCAAAGGCAGAACCAUCAGACUUCUGUCUGAUGAAACAAGCUCAGAAACAUCGGCUCCUGUGGUUCCAAGUAACCGAAGAAUUGGAGCAAUGCUUGGAUGGCCUGGAUUGAAAUGUUAAGGAAAAUCCUCAGCUGGCAGCAGGGCUGGUUAUAGCUAUGUGCUAGGGUAGGUUUUGCUGUGGGUCAUGUGCCAAGAGAUAGCCUUCUACCUUGUUGUAGUUUAGGAAUGGUACUCCCCAAUUCAGUGCCCCCACAGAGACUCUCCCAAAGCAGACACUGCUCUCUCGCUCUCCCUUUCCCUCCCCUUUCCCACUCUGGCGGGGUGGAGUUGAGACUUGGAGGACAAAAGGUGAAGAUCUCAGAAACUUCCUCUGCCGUGUUCCCCCGUAGGGUGAUGUCAUGGAUGUGCUCUUAAGUGUUCUGGAGCCUCAUCCUUCUCCAGUGCAGUCUGGAGCAGUCCAUGGUAAAUAGUGGGGCUGUGUUUCCAUCCUUGAGGCAGUCAGUUCCAGGUGUACUGCACACCUCUCCACGUGAAAGCAAACUGUGGCCUACAUUCUGCUGCCAAAGGAAUGGAGAAAAACACAUUAACAAUAUCGAUGGUGGCACCACUUGGCUGCCCUGGACUCCAGUCCGUACCAUCUGGUCUGUCCAUCAGUACCUGUUGUUCUACAACCUCAGCAGUCCCACAGCAGAAGGAUCCUCUGAGAAACCAGGAGGCUGAAGCCAUAAUGCACACAGAGAGCCGUGGUAGAAGCACUGAUGAACUUGGCUGGUGGUGUUUGGGUGGAGAUCACUGUUCUAGUUUCAGGAGCUGGAACCACUUUAUCACCACGUGGCUAUAACCAAAAGUGUGUAUUCUACAACCUCUGUGUCAUUUCUGAGGGACUCUUAAUAAUGGAUCAUUUGCUGAAGCUGCCCAGGGCACACCUGAUACCUGAGGCUACAAGCUGGGUGUUAAAGAACCCUGUGAGGAGUGUUUCUUUGUCUUCAAACCCAUGACUCAGCUGUGAUAACUCCCCUCCAGGAGGCAUCAGCACCUUCACCUCCAGCCCAAGGGGGCAUCUCUGCUAAUGGGCCAUAGUGGACUGGCAUAACAGGCAGCUGCAACAACCUACACCAUCAAAGUCUCCAAAAAUACCCCACAACUCGCUGAGUUAAAUCACCCACUGUGAAACUCCCUGCCCUGGGGGAGGUACUGGACGUUCCCACCUGAACCUGAGCACGUAUCUUGGGGUUUUGGGACUUCUGGUACUGCUUGUCAGAUCCAGAGGAGGACCAGAGUUCCAACAGACUGUCACUCUUGACAAGACUGUGAUCAUCACUUCAACAGGACCAUCGUCCAGACCAACAGGUUUCUUUUCCUUUUCCUUUGCCCCCGGGGGGGGACCAUGUGGAGCUCAGCACAGCGGUGGAUGAACACCCUUCUGUUCUUGUCCCAGGGCGUGGGCUUAUACAUCUGUCUUUGUGGGUUAAAACUAGUUUUCCUGUAUCGUUGCAUUUAUUGUAAUUUUUUUUUUUUUUUUAGUAAAUUGUAACUCUGACUUGUAA